AACGAACGCUGGCGGCAGGCUUAACACAUGCAAGUCGAACGAGAUCUUCGGAUCUAGUGGCAGACGGGUGAGGAACACGUGGGAACAUCCCUUUCAGUUCGGAAUAACGUUGGGAAACUAACGCUAAUACCGGAUACGUCCUUCGGGAGAAAGAUUUAUCGCUGAAAGAUUGGCCCGCGUCUGAUUAGCUAGUUGGUGAGGUAAUGGCUCACCAAGGCUACGAUCAGUAGCUGAUCUGAGAGGAUGAUCAGCCACAUUGGGACUGAGACACGGCCCAAACUCCUACGGGAGGCAGCAGUGGGGAAUAUUGGACAAUGGGCGCAAGCCUGAUCCAGCCAUGCCGCGUGAGUGAUGACGGCCUUCGGGUUGUAAAGCUCUUUUGUCCGGGAAGAUAAUGACUGUACCGGAAGAAUAAGCCCCGGCAAACUUCGUGCCAGCAGCCGCAGUAA
RNAcentral lists this ribosomal RNA (449 nucleotides) under uncultured bacterium. RNAcentral describes it as "partial 16S ribosomal RNA". It matches the Rfam family "Bacterial small subunit ribosomal RNA", at positions 29 to 523 of the family's 1533-position model. The record is from RNAcentral.